RNAcentral lists this ribosomal RNA (724 nucleotides) under uncultured Lysobacteraceae bacterium. RNAcentral's name for it is "bacterial SSU rRNA". It matches the Rfam family "Bacterial small subunit ribosomal RNA", at positions 8 to 721 of the family's 1533-position model. The record is from RNAcentral. Lineage: Bacteria; Pseudomonadati; Pseudomonadota; Gammaproteobacteria; Lysobacterales; Lysobacteraceae.
AGAGUUUGAUCAUGGCUCAGAUUGAACGCUGGCGGCAUGCCUAACACAUGCAAGUCGAACGGCAGCACAGCAGUAGCAAUACUGUGGGUGGCGAGUGGCGGACGGGUGAGGAAUGCAUCGGAAUCUGCCCAGUCGUGGGGGAUAACGUAGGGAAACUUACGCUAAUACCGCAUACGACGGAGACGUGAAAGCGGGGGAUCGCAAGACCUCGCGCGAUUGGAUGAGCCGAUGCCGGAUUAGCUAGUUGGUGGGGUAAAGGCCCACCAAGGCGACGAUCCGUAGCUGGUCUGAGAGGACGAUCAGCCACACUGGGACUGAGACACGGCCCAGACUCCUACGGGAGGCAGCAGUGGGGAAUAUUGGACAAUGGGGGCAACCCUGAUCCAGCAAUGCCGCGUGUGUGAAGAAGGCCUUCGGGUUGUAAAGCACUUUUAUUGGGAACGAAAAGCGGAGGGCUAAUACCCAUCCGUGCUGACGGUACCCGAUGAAUAAGCACCGGCUAACUUCGUGCCAGCAGCCGCGGUAAUACGAAGGGUGCAAGCGUUAAUCGGAAUUACUGGGCGUAAAGCGUGCGUAGGCGGUUUCUUAAGUCUGCUGUGAAAGCCCUGGGCUCAACCUGGGAAUGGCGGUGGAUACUGAGAAGCUGGAGUACGGUAGAGGAAGGUGGAAUUCCCGGUGUAGCGGUGAAAUGCGUAGAGAUCGGGAGGAACAUCAGUGGCGAAGG